GAAAUGUACUUUCGGCAGUUUACAAACACAUUUGAUUAAGGCUCCGUUAGACACAUAUAACCAUAUCAAUAUAAUUUCUAGUAGUAGUGUGGUUGCUUAAUAAGUGGAAAGGAAUGUGCAGGCUACAUGAAUUUGUUUUCUUCAAAGUAUUGUGGAACAGGAGGUCCGGAAAGGGAGCAUAUCUCAAGGCCGAUGGGAACGCGAAAAACAACUCGUCUUUGUGGUCCAGACACCUGUGCUGAGCAGGGGAAAACCCAAACGAGGAGGAGAUGACCACAGACCAUCGACCAAUCACCACACAAUCUUUUGCAUGUUUGAAUAUUCAUAUUGUGUUUCUUUAAAACUGGGCAACCCGGAAGAAUGUGUCGUCUUUCUGGUCACGAAGGCACACGAGUUUUUGUGUUAAGGACCCAAAGACCCAGGCGCCUGUAUUAGCUUGCUUUGUCAAGAUUAAACAAUUGGUAAAUUCGGUCUGAUUGAUCUACUGGUCUUCUCUUUGACAGAACGAACUCGCAAAAUUGUUAGGUGCGCCAGUGUGUGGAUUAGAACAUAGCAAUUUUUGUGUUAAGUGUUGAUCACAAUUUGGAGUCAGAUCAAUAGCUAAAAUCCGUAUCCUAACAGUUUCUUGGUGACCCCGACGUGAUGUCAAGAGAAGGGUAAUUGACAAACUCGUGGUCUGUGUCCAAGUCAUCGGACAGUUAGUCUGGGACAGCUGUCUCCCGGUCGGCGUACCGUUUGAAUAAGGAAUAAGCGCACAACGUUGAGCUGGUACGACGUCUCCUAAACCCUGAGCUCAUCAAUGAUAAGGUAAGCAGAAUACCUGUUACUAUAUGUCGAAAUUCUGCAAAUUGAAAGAGGAAAUUUAAGAGGAGACUGUCGUUCAGAUCAAAUAAGGUGUGCAAGCUUUUAAAAACAGUUAAAUUCCGUGGUGGGAGGGCGGGCUCCUCUGUUCUUUUAGAAACAGUUAAAUUCCGUGGUGGGAGGGCGGGCUCCUCUGUUCUUUGAGAAACAGUUAAAUUCCGUGGUGGGAGGGCGGACUCCUCUGUUUUGCUUCGUCGUGGCGGACAAGGGUGCGGUGACGAUCGCAUUCAAAUAGCUGGGGUGCUUGUGAGAUCCCCGAGGAGAAGUGAGGCCUCCUCAAAAAGUAUCCGGUGGUAACAGUUCCUCCUGUGAGAGACCAGACCGCUAAAAUAUCCAAAAUGUGCAACCAAAUUGGGGGGAGUGUGUGUGUGAUGAGAGGAAUGAAUGGAGUGAGAUUGAGAGGAAUGUAUGCUGGAAGUGCAAAUUGUGAGCUACAUGAGAGAUGGAUUCGAAUCCCUUUGUCUGUGUGUUCUGUGUAUGUGCGUAAUCUCUGUAAAAGUUUGUGUCAGUCUAUCGUCGUUCGUCUGAGCUCUGCGCGAGCACUUUGUGUAUUGGCGUGCGUGCCGUGCGGAUGCGUGUGUGUAUGUGCGGUUGUGUGCGCGCUCGCUGUGUGUGCGUUUAUGUGUACAUGUGUGGUUGCGGGCGUGUGAGGAGGAAGAUGGGAUGGAUCAGAGAAUGUUCAAGAAGGAGGGGGCCCGUUCGGCUCAUACCGGCAAGGGUGGGGGCCAGCAGGACAUGCGGGCCUGGCCAGAUUGUGACGUCAACAUUGAUACAAUGUUGAGGAGAAGUGAGAGAAGAGAGGGGGGCUAACUUGUAAAUAGUGAUGAGAUAAUUGCUCAAUUGAUGGGGGUUAAUAAUUAUCCAAAUUUUAGUCACAUGUUUUGAGGGACCACAGCAACAACAUUGUAUUUGCAGGCCAUUAAUUUAGUUGGUGAUGACAGUGUUUAGAUAAGUAGAUUGUUUUAUCAAAAAAUGUGAGAGUGAAGGAGGAGGUUUGAUUUGUAAUCUGGCAUUUGGGUGCCACUUUUAAGAGUCUGUGCAGGAGCAUAGAUUGUUUUGGUUGUUUUUAAAGAUAUAUUUAACAGUUUAUUUCGGUGCAGUAAGGAUAUAGCAGUUUUGAAAGACUUAAAAUCGAAAGCAAAAUUACAUUUUAAUUUUGACAUAUGGCAGCUAACAUGAGGAUGGCAAAUAAAUAAAUGAAUAAAUACUAGCUCAAAUGUGGCAUGUGUUUUAAAUUGGGCGAUAAGGCAUUCACUUUCGAGCCAUUUAGCGCUGCUGACAACAAUAAUUUAUGAGAUGGUAAAUCAAGGAGGAAUGUCAUAGUUGGAACACAGGCGCUGUAUGACCUAUAGAUUGAACAAUAACAUUCACCGCAUAUGUUGUGAAUUGUUAAAUUAUAUUACAGUUUAUUACAAAAGAUUUCGGAACUUUAUUUGAUGAUAAACACUGGAACGAGGAUUUUAGCCGUGUUAAUGGGUAGGGUGGAUGGAUUGCUCAGAAGAAAAAAGCAUUUGAUAAGGGCGGCUUGAUAGUAAGAUGAUGAGUGUGCGCAACUGAUAGGAUACAAAAUGUUAAUAGGAAGAUUUGGGGUGUAAGAAACAAAUACUACACAGGAAGAUUGAUAACACAAAGAUAGUUUUGUUAAAUUUGUGUCCCAGUGUGUUCUUCCCUAGUGCGUGGCACGAUUCCUGAACUGAGUCCUCUUACUCCACUGGCUGUCUCAAAAUCAACAGAGGACUGUCCCUGAUCAUGAGACACCUUUGAGAACAACAGAAACUGCUAUCAUGCUUGAAGGGGGCAAGCACAGCUUUUCACAGGACAAGAACCAUACAGUUGGUGGAAUACACACAGUUGCAGAUCAGAAAAGAAAAUGGACUGAAAGAACAAAGACAAGAUGGACGCAUUUGAGAGUGGCGGACGAUCCAGCCCUGAAUCAUCAUCAUGAGAAUUUAAGAGGAGAGGCUGCUAAAGACUUGCAUGAGUCACAUGAAGUCAAACUGGACACAUUGCUAAAGACUGCUGAAGCAUUACAAAGUUGGUGGAGUGUGGGACAAAAGGGAUGGAAGUGUGUUUGGGUGCUGGGGCGGACAUAUCUGAGGAGUUUUGAUAAAAGAGGGAAUAAUAAGGCUGCUUAUUGACACUGAAACGGGGAUAACAACAAAAUACAUAGAUAUGGACAGCAAAGAUGCACUAAUAAUAACAAAUCAUACGACAGCGUGAUCAGAAACUUUGCAAAGUGGAUAUUGAUCGAUAGAAAUUAAAUUUAUCAAAACGACAGAAUUUAAUUAUACAUCAAUUGCGACAAUUGAUUUAAAUGACACUUUAUGAUAGGCAUUUAUGGUUAGGGUUAACAAUCCAUCCAUCCAUCCAUCCAUCCAUUACUGGUGCGGCUUGUCCUUACGAGGGUCACGGAGGUUUAACAAUAAUAAUUAGAAUUUGUAAUUUCUGGAGAAAUUGUGUGUGAAGGCGAAGAGCCUGAAUACAAAUUCGGGGAAUGCUACAAGAUUAUGUUUAAAUUUAGAACGUGUUGAAUUGGUCAGGAAAUCGAUGAAAAUAUCGAAAGAAUUUUGUAAAAUUGGGCGUGAAUUUUAAAGUUGAAAAUUUGAAAUUUUUCACAAGUGGGAAGUUUUGGAAUAGGUAGGCAUAAGAUGAAUAGUUAAAAGAAAUUGAAAAGGGUUGAGUCAGUGAAAGAAUAAUUAGAAAUUAGAAGGGAAAAAGGGAAUGUUGCAAAAUGUUACUGCAAUGUUGAAAGUGAAAAUGUGAAAUUUCAAGCUAGAAAGUGAGAGAAGGUGAAUUGGAAAGUGAAAGAAGGUUAAUUGGAGGAAUUAUGUAGAAGAAAAUGAGAAAUAUUGAAUGUGCCAUGAAGAAUGAAUGGUGAAAUAUUGGCUUAAAAUGUAUAAAUUUCUCAAAAAUCGUAAAUAUUUAGAAUAUUUGGCAUGAAUAUUUGGAAUGUGUUAAAAGUGGAAUGAGGUGAAUCAGAUGAAUUCGUAGAAGUAGUUAAGUUAAAAAAUGAAUAAAUGAAAAAGAGGCAGAAGAAUGCAGAAGAAGUUGAAUAAUGAUAAAGUCAAGGCAAGGCAAGUUUAUUUAUAUAGCCCACAAGCAAGUCUCAAAGGGCUUCAAAUGUACAAAAAUUGACAAUUUAAAGUACAGGAACAAUAAGUGUGAGGGCCACAAUGAUGAUCAUGACAGCAAAAAUAUUCCUAAUUGGUUUUGAUAGGUAGAAAGGGGGAGCGUGGAAGGUUUUCAAACUUUGUGAUAUAGCGUGACUCCAUUAUCAAAAGUAAGCAUUUAAUUUUAAGAAUUAGCAUCAACAAAAAUGAGAACGAUAAUCUUCAAGGUGAUAGCGUAAGUGGCAGGAGGAAGCUGUGUAUAUUGUUUUUAAACAUUAUUUUUGGUAUCAUUAUUUUUUAGGAGGGUCAGUUAUGCUUGUGAGAAGAUGACUGAGGGAACAAGGUAACAGUAAAAGGGAGUGCUCUAUAAAUUGUUGGUUCUUUGCCAGAGGGAGUUAUUUGGAGGGAUGAAUUUAAACUGAAAGCCAAAUGGAACUGUUUAGUGGAAGAAAUAUGGGAAUGUGGAAAUACUGAAGUUACAGCUCAACACAAAGUGUCAAAUGGUCUAAGUGAGAGAUGUGAGCAAACUAAAUGGGGAGUUAAAUCAUGUUCCGGCAUUAUGCAUAUUGGCAAACGAGGAGAGGACAGGAAACCAGACAAUUAGAUAUUAACUUUGGAUUUAAAAUAAAAAAGGGAAAUUUUAAUUGAGGAGAAAAUUUUGCGUAGGGACGGUUCCUUUUUAUAAUUUAAUAUUGUAUGUUUUUAUGUGUGUGUUGUGGAAUGACAGUUUGUUUGUAAUGGUGUAUGAAUGUCAAGUCUGUGCUUGUGGUGUGGUGUUUGUGUAUUGUGAAUGGUUGACAUGAUUCAAAGUUGGGGUGAUGUGAUCACAGCAGAGGAUAACAUUCCUCUCACCUGAAAAAUAUAAAGAUACUACAGAUUUGAAAAAGCACAAUUGAUCAGGACUAAUUUUGGACUAAAUAUGGGUUUAGGAUUACUCAGGGGCACCAUCGACAACAAAACAGUGCGAUGGAGAAGGCCCAUUUCAGUAAUAUGGUUAGACAAGACAGAACUGGUAUUGAACGUUAAGACUUUGGACGAUUUGACGUGUGACAACUUUGAGCUCACCCGACGGGGUGACGGACUAGGUGGACAGUGACCAAAUGUUUGACGCUUGAGCUUGCUUGCGACAAGUGCACGCUCUGCUUUGUUUUUCUGUGUGACUUAAUUUUUUUGCAGCAGCAGCAACAGCCACCAGCCAAGGAGCGGAUUGCGCGCUGCUUGCGUAACUUGUUUUCGUUCUUGCAGGUUGUCAAUUGCGUUCGUGGAAAAUUUGUAUUGAAUUUACAUGAAUAUGUUAACCUUUGCCCUUUUGGUUUUUAUGAUGAACUUGUUGAUGACAUGGUUUUCAGGACAUGAUCCGCGGGCGCCAGGAUUCAUUUUAUGACUGUUUUUAUUUUGAUACUUGAUGUAUGUUUUUGUGUGUACAAAUGUCCGCUAUCAGCAGGGCUAUAAGCUCACUGACAGGAGUGCGAUGAUUUUUGUUUGUGUUGCCGAGCGUGUGGUGGACGAGCUAGAGGUUCCGCAGGCCUGGCUACAAUGAGUGUGGUGAUGAGAGGGGAUGCUUAGCAGGUUCCUUUUGAUACAUAAUGACACAUUGGGUGAAUGUGUCAAAAGGGGGAGUGGUAAAAUAGAAAUGGGUGAGUAUGUGGUAAGAUAGAAUUGGGUGAGUAGGUUGUAAAAUACAAAUGGGUGAGUAGGUUUCAAUUUGUAAUUUUGAUAUCCAAAAAUUUUUUCCAAAUCCACUUGUUUUUAAGCUUUAACAGGACAUGCCAGAAUUCAACUAGCAGUGAUGGAAGGAGCAGAGGAAGACCAGUGACAACUGGUUGUGGUGUGGUGACAACAAAUUAUAGCAUGGCUUGCCAAAGGAUGCAUAGGGUAUCUGUGCCCUCGUGUCUUUUGUGCCUCAUAACCACUGUAAUGCCUGUAGUGGUUGUCCCCAUUGAAACACAGACUCUCAAUUGGAACAUGGAGUCCCCACUGGCGGGGCUCCUGAAGUGAGCCAAAAGAGACGUUUUGCCCCCAUGGUUGAGCGACAACGAUCCAACAUAUAUUGACGCCAUAGGUGUGCCAGAUAAGUAUGAAUUCGUUAAUCAAGUGUCCUCGGGAUUCAAAAGCAUUUUCCUAUGGAUCACCCCCAAUAAAAAUGUAUCAUUUACAGCGGUCCAUGAACAAUUGGCAUUGAUGUCGUUCCAAAAUAGAAUUGCGUUGGACAUGCUAUUGGCUAAGGAACAUGGUGUGUGCGGAAUGUUUGGUGAUGCAUGUUGUACUUUCAUCCCCAACAACACAGCGCCAGGGGGCCGACUGGCCCAGGCGGGAAGAAAGGACCGACAGCAUGCUGGUCGCUGCUUGCUAGAGUAACGGGUGAUGACCUCAUAAAUGAGGUCAUGAGAGGGAAUAAAGGGAAAUGUACUUUCGGCAGUUUACAAACACAUUUGAUUAAGGCUCCGUUAGACACAUAUAACCAUAUCAAUAUAAUUUCUAGUAGUAGUGUGGUUGCUUAAUAAGUGGAAAGGAAUGUGCAGGCUACAUGAAUUUGUUUUCUUCAAAGUAUUGUGGAACAGGAGGUCCGGAAAGGGAGCAUAUCUCAAGGCCGAUGGGAACGCGAAAAACAACUCGUCUUUGUGGUCCAGACACCUGUGCUGAGCAGGGGAAAACCCAAACGAGGAGGAGAUGACCACAGACCAUCGACCAAUCACCACACAAUCUUUUGCAUGUUUGAAUAUUCAUAUUGUGUUUCUUUAAAACUGGGCAACCCGGAAGAAUGUGUCGUCUUUCUGGUCACGAAGGCACACGAGUUUUUGUGUUAAGGACCCAAAGACCCAGGCGCCUGUAUUAGCUUGCUUUGUCAAGAUUAAACAAUUGGUAAAUUCGGUCUGAUUGAUCUACUGGUCUUCUCUUUGACAGAACGAACUCGCAAAAUUGUUAGGUGCGCCAGUGUGUGGAUUAGAACAUAGCAAUUUUUGUGUUAAGUGUUGAUCACAAUUUGGAGUCAGAUCAAUAGCUAAAAUCCGUAUCCUAACAAAUCACAACAGUUACAUUUGACAAAAUGUUAUUUUUGAUGUUUAAUGGUAAGUAAAUGGAAAUGGGCACAAAAGUGCUCAUACAUGGGCCAAGGAAUAGUACAGUUUCAAUGUGAUUUAAUAUAUGUUUUAAUUUAAAAGUAGAUUUAAACAUCAGAUUUUUUUUUUUAAAACAACCAUUCUUGGAAUUAAAGGUUUAAGCCAGUUAUGGACAUCACCAUUUCUGAUAUAAAAUUUCAAAACAUUAAGUGAUACCACAUACAACAAGGGCAGAAAUUGGCAAGAAUAUUCUUACAGUGGGGGGAGGUUGGAACAAUUUAUCAAGACCCCAAGAAGAGAGGGCACUCUGGGUUUUUGUAAAGACUUAAAUUAUCUGAGUUUUUGUAAAGACUUAAAUUAGAGACAUUUCUUUGAGUAAAACAUGUUGAAUAAAGAAUAUUGUGAUUAAAAUACAAUUAAAUAUUGUUUUCUGGGAAAGUUAUUAUUAAAAUAUAUUUCAACUCAAUUUUAUUUUUUUUUGCAGGAAAAAUGAAUACCCUGAAGUUACAUGAAACCACUUGAAAUGAGAUUUAAAAUAUAAUGGAAGAGAAAAUUGAAUGCAUGGAAAUGAACCCUUUUCACAUAUUCUGAGAAAAACUGUCGUGACAAAUAAUGAUUGCAAUACACUGCUUUGAACCUGCUCCAGCCCUCAGAGUUACGUUAUGAGUUAAGACCAGAGCGGAAGAAGGGUCUGACUGAGAGGAGCAGACAGUGAAGACGAGGAAGAAGAAUAUAUCUUGCACCCCCUACCCCAACUCUCUUCAGUGACUAUCAAUAGUAUCAUUUGUAUAUGAAAUUGUAAGACGUACACUUCAGCAUGACAUUGUAUCUUAAUUAACAUGUUCCAUGGGGUCACAAUUGAUUUCUGCAGUGAUUCAGUUUAUAUGAUGUACCCUGUUAUCAUAUUUAUGAAUGAAAUA
Syngnathus typhle (broad-nosed pipefish) is the source of this 7950-nucleotide long non-coding RNA. RefSeq lists it as uncharacterized. The transcript is spliced from 3 exons. The record is from RefSeq and is a predicted model, not a curated record. Lineage: Eukaryota; Metazoa; Chordata; Actinopteri; Syngnathiformes; Syngnathidae.